UAUCCACAAACACUAGAAGGUAUUUGUAAC
This 30-nucleotide non-coding RNA is filed under the name Mus musculus (house mouse). Lineage: Eukaryota; Metazoa; Chordata; Mammalia; Rodentia; Muridae. The record is from RNAcentral.